Molecule: long non-coding RNA, 2336 nt
Organism: Anas platyrhynchos (mallard)
Lineage: Eukaryota; Metazoa; Chordata; Aves; Anseriformes; Anatidae
Product: protein brambleberry
Source: RefSeq, a predicted model, not a curated record
GUGGUGGUGGUGGUGGGGAGGGGCUGACCCCAACCCUAUGGGUGGGGGAGUCCCUAACCCUGCCCUAUAAGCUUAUGGGGUGCUGGGGGGCCCCCCCUUUUUGGGGAGGGCCCCCCCCCUUCUUGGGGAGGGGGCCCUCAUGUCCCCAUGCCCUGCUAUAGGGGCAGGGACCCCUGGGGGAGCUGUCGUCGGGGAGGGGGUCCCCACGUUGGGGAGGGAGCCCCACUUGCCCGCCCUCCCCAGGAUUUGGGGAGGGGGCUGCCCUAGCUUUUUGGGUGCCCCCCCUUUAUUUUUUAUGCUGCAGGACCCCCCCCCCCCCCACCAUGCUGCCCCCCCGUUGCUGCUGGGCUCUGCUCCUCCUCUGCGCCCCCGCUUUUGGGGGGGGGCUGCUGGGCUGGCUGGGUUUCGGCACCCCUCCCCAGGAAGGGACCCCCCCAGGACCACCACCGAGCCCUCCCCCGGGACCACCGAGCCCCCCCCACGUCCCCUUCGAGAUGACGACGGGCGACGAGCGCUUCCAAGCCGAGGGGGCGCAGUGGGAGCUGUCCCCCCUGGACGCCUGCCACCGCCAGGUCGUGGCACGGCUCCGCUCGUCCUGCGCCGACCUGAGCGAGGAGGAGGUGGCCAAACUGGGGGUGGCCCUGUUCAACUGCCAGGCCAGCGCCGAGGGCCGCCGCACCUACCCCUGCACCCCGGAGAUGUCGCUGGCGAGCUGCACGGCCCCCAUGGACCCCGACACCUGGAGCGCCUACCAAAUCGUCUCCAACCGUGCCCGUGCCGUCUGCUACGCCGCCCGGCAGCUGGAAUUUCGGCGCCGCGCCGAGCACGCCGUGGCCGCCUUGGCCGCCGCCGCCUCCGACCAGCUCCACGCCGCGCGGGCCCUCAAGGAGAGGCACGAGGAGCUCCGGGAGAGGAUGGCCGAGGGGCUGCGGCGGGCGCUGAGCGGGCAGAAGGUGCUGGAGGAGCAGCAGGAGCGGCUCGCGGGCGAGCAGGGCAGGAUGGAGGUUGCCAUCCGCCGCGCGUUGCGGCACCGGGCGCUGGAGGAGCGGCUCCUCGACGGCGCGCGGCGCCGGGUGGCCCGGCUCGUGGAGGGCAUGGCACGCAGCGUGGGGGACAUCAGCAGGAGCUUGGCCACGCGGGACCGGGGGCUGCGGGACGGGCAGCGAGCCAUCCUGGCCGACCUCCGGCGCCUGCAGGAAAGAGCUCGGGACGUCUCCGCACAUCUAGAGAGCGACCUGGCCUCGCUGCUGGCCCAGCGGAGCCGCGCGGCGCGCUCCUUCGAGGAGGUGGCGGGGACGUUGCAACGCCUCAACCGGAGCCUGGGGCUGGUGCUGGCGGCUGCCGAGGGCGUGAGGAAGGUGCAGAAGGGACUGGAGAGCCACCUGGAGAGCUUCCACGCCGCCCUCGCUUGGCUCGGGUUGAGCCCCGGGGCCGUCCCCACCUGCGUCCUGCACGGUUCCUAUUUCCUUCUGCUGGCCCUGCUGCUGGCCUUCCUCCAGGUGCCCGCGCCGCCCCGCGCCCUCCUCCUCCUCCUCGUCCUCUCCAGCGCCCUCGGCGAGCUCCGCGGCGCUGAGCCCAUCGGUUUCCCAGCCCUCACCGCUCUCCUGGCCCUGGCUGUGGCAGGGCACUGGGUGCUGGCGGCUGCCCUCCGAUUUGCUCGGCGGAUAUCCCACCGGGCUGAGCCUCGCCGUCACCUCACCUCCACCCCAGAAAGGGAUUGCAAAAUGGGAUUGCUGCAGGAGGAGCUGGCCAGGAUGGAGAUGAGCUGCCUGCAAGAGCCCUCGUGCCUGGAGCAGCCCCCGGUGAUGGUUGGGGACCCCCACGCAGCAGGGAGGACGUCGCUGGUCCCCGAAAAAAAGGGGCUGAGCUCGGUCCCUUCGCCUGGGCACCCCAUCCCCAGGAGGAGCCCGUAUGGGGUGAUUUUGGAGCCAGGUUUUGGAGCUGGGCAGCGCCGGGAACCCAAACCCUACAACCCGAGCCAGUCCUUGGCCAGCAGCACCGCGUCCUCAUUGUCCCCACGGACCCCGUGCCGGGGGCUCACCAGGGCCGGGCAGCGGUGUCGGAAGAGAGCUGUCCCCGGGCAGGAUUUGUGCCACGUCCACAUGGAUGGGUCCCCACGCCUCUGACCCCCCAAAAUGGGGCUUUUUAACCCAGUUUUGGCUCAUUUUGGCAGCUGGAGAACGCGGAGCUGUGCUCAGCACCCUAUGGGUGCCCCCUUGGUGUGGGUAUGGGAUUCCUGGGCUCCCCCUUGAGCCCCGUGGGGCGGAUACUCCUCAUCCCCCCAUUUUUAUGCUAUUUGCACAGAUUUUAAUAAAUGCCAGUUUUAUUUAUAGCUA